RNAcentral lists this transfer RNA (64 nucleotides) under Ochthebius glaber. RNAcentral's name for it is "tRNA-Tyr". It matches the Rfam family "tRNA". From Rfam's summary of the family: Transfer RNA (tRNA) molecules are approximately 80 nucleotides in length. Their secondary structure includes four short double-helical elements and three loops (D, anti-codon, and T loops). Further hydrogen bonds mediate the characteristic L-shaped molecular structure. tRNAs have two regions of fundamental functional importance: the anti-codon, which is responsible for specific mRNA codon recognition, and the 3' end, to which the tRNAs corresponding amino acid is attached (by aminoacyl-tRNA synthetases). tRNAs cope with the degeneracy of the genetic code in two manners: having more than one tRNA (with a specific anti-codon) for a particular amino acid; and 'wobble' base-pairing, i.e. permitting non-standard base-pairing at the 3rd anti-codon position. Lineage: Eukaryota; Metazoa; Arthropoda; Insecta; Coleoptera; Hydraenidae. The record is from RNAcentral.
GAUAGGGUGGCUGAGUUUAGGCGAUAAAUUGUAAAUUUAUUAACGAAAGUAAUUUCUUCUAUCA